CCUACGGGGGGCAGCAGUGAGGAAUAUUGGUCAAUGGGCGCGAGCCUGAACCAGCCAAGCCGCGUGAAGGAUGACUGCCCUACGGUUUGUAAACUUCUUUUAUAAAGGCAUAAAGUCAGGUACGAGUGCCGUUUUGUGUGUACUUUAAGAAAAAGAUUAGGCUAACUCCGUGCCAGCAGCCGCGGUAAUACGGAGGAUCCGAGCGUUAUCCGGAUUUAUUGGGUUUAAAGGGAGCGUAGGUGGGUUGUUAAGUCAGUUGUGAAAGUUCGGGGCUCAACCUGAAAAUUGCAAUGGAUACUGGCAGCCUUGAGUACAGUAGAGGGAGGCGGAAUUCGUGGUGUAGCAGUGAAAUGCUUAGAUAUCGCGAAGAACUCCGAUGGCGAAGGCAGCUUACUAAGCUGCCACUGACGUUGAUGCUCGAAAGUGUGGGUAUCAAACAGGAUUAGAUACCCCAGUAGUC
RNAcentral lists this ribosomal RNA (460 nucleotides) under uncultured bacterium. Its description in RNAcentral is "partial 16S ribosomal RNA". It matches the Rfam family "Bacterial small subunit ribosomal RNA", at positions 338 to 795 of the family's 1533-position model. The record is from RNAcentral.